Long non-coding RNA from Pocillopora damicornis (cauliflower coral), 1543 nucleotides. The record is from RefSeq and is a predicted model, not a curated record. NCBI's taxonomy places the organism in Eukaryota, Metazoa, Cnidaria, Anthozoa, Scleractinia, Pocilloporidae.
UUCUCGAGCAACAACUUCUGUUAACUUUUUAUUAGCUUCCCGCGGAGGUCAUACAAAUAAGUAAUCGUUAGGAUAAAGGAGCUGCUGGAAGGCAUUUGAAGCGGUGUAAGUAUCAUCACGAACUGGUUUUCCGUCCGCUUCGGGAGUUAAGUUAAUACGGUAUUUGCAAGAUCUUGUUAUGCUUGAUUAACCUCGCUAGCGGAAACUCGCGCCCGCACAAAACGUGUGAAAUAAAAUUGUUCUCAGUGUAAAUAGUAACCCGUCGAUUUGAAGUCUGCAAACCAUUAGUUUCCACUUCGCCAGCAGCGCUUGGAUGUUUUUGUGUUUGGUUUAUAAAGUUACCUCCACUUCACUUUCCUCAACAGCCAUUUCGAGACGCUCGCUUGUACUAUGCAAAUGUCGGGAUAAAGGUUUCAUACCAAUUGCAUUUUUGUUUUUUCAAUUGUCUUGGAAUAACUUUCUGCUUCGCUGAGUUGAACAAGCCUGAUCGAUGUGGUUCUGAUAUCGCGUUGAUUGUGUGUGGAGGGAAAGAUAACACAAGGACGUGUCUCGAAUUUUUGGGGGUUUUUCUAAUCGAGAGUUGAGCUGAUAGGGAAACAAGUGAUACUCGCGAAACGAAGAGGCGACCAUUUACAGAUUGGGUUCUGUUAUCACGGAUUACACUAAAGAAUACCUGCGUUACAAAAACAUCGACUUGCGAAAUUAGCCAAUCAAUUGAAUAUAAUUGCAUCAACUCCAUAAGGUGCCACUGCACGAAGGUCUCUGGCAGUAAUAUUUUUAUCUUCAAGUGCACUUCCGUCCUCCUGAGGUUUCGUCGUUACAAUUUUGGUAUGGCUUUUGUAAAUAUUAUCGUUUCCUGAUCAUGUUUCCGGUAUCCAAAUUUAUUUGGGUGGUUACUUUAUUUGCUAACUCUUCUAUUCCUCUGAUAGCUCCGUGAAUUCUAUAUAAAACAAGUCUAGUUUAAAGAGAUUGUAAGUUCACGGGUCAAUUGCAAAAAUGCAUAACAAAAGUUUAUCCUUGGAUCUGUUCUUGCCUAUGCUUUUACGCACACAAGAGGUGCAGACGUGUUAAAGACAAACUGCAGCUAACAUCGAAACACAUCGCCCACCAACCUGUACUGGUCACAUGGAAGUAUAAUAUUUGACAUAAUUUACGGUAUUGACGAUAAAAAAGGUUCUGAGCUUGCACGCAAUCGAUUCUCGACGGUUAUUCAGGACUACAGAAUUGAUUUGGCCCUCCGCGGGCAUCUAUAUAUUGCCUGUGAAAACAAACAAAACAAAAAAUUCAUCUAUUUCCGACAAAAAAACAAGCAAGUUGGUAAAUAUCCCACCAGACCAAGCGUACAUAAUCGUGUGAAAGGUUGCAGACAUCUGUUUUCAACACGCUGGCGGUGAUACAAAGGGAAUCUUGAGUAACAACGAAAACUAAAUUAGCGACUGGUAGCCCAGAGUUCAAAGGGCACUUACCCGUAGGUAGGUAGAAAAAGACUUGUCUUGCAGAUUGAAAAACUAUCUGGAAUAAAAAAAAGAUUAGGCAAUUUCAA